GAAAUGCGAUAAGUAAUGUGAAUUGCAGAAUUCAGUGAAUCAUCGAAUCUUUGAACGCACAUUGCGCCCGCCAGUACUCUGGCGGGCAUGCCUGUUCGAGCGUCAUUUCAACCAUCAAGCCCCCGGCUUGUGUUGGGGACCUGCGGCUGCCCGCAGGCCCUGAAAAACAGUGGCGGGCUCGCUGUCACACCGAGCGUAGUAGCAUACAUUCUCGCUCAGGGCGUGCUGCGGGUUCCGGCCGUUAAACGACCAUCAUAACCCAAGGUUGACCUCGGAUCAGGUAGGAAGACCCGCUGAACUUAAGC
This 305-nucleotide unclassified non-coding RNA is filed under the name plant metagenome. RNAcentral describes it as "partial contains 5.8S ribosomal RNA, internal transcribed spacer 2, and large subunit ribosomal RNA". The stretch from base 1 to 105 matches the Rfam family "5.8S ribosomal RNA", at positions 50 to 154 of the family's 154-position model. The record is from RNAcentral.